AGGCAAAACCGGGUGACCGCCGCGGUGGGAAUUUUCCCGCCGGGGAGGAAAGUCCGGGCUCCACCGGACAGGGUGCUGGGUAACUCCCAGGCUUCUGAGGCAGCUUGGCCGCUGCCCCAGGGGACGGAAAGUGGCACAGAAACAUACCGCCUCCGCCACGAACCCGGGCUAGCCAUUCCCCGCAAUGGACGCCCGAUUGACGGAGGUAAGGUUGAAAUCGGACGGUAAGAGCGUCCGGUCGCGUGUGGUGACGCACCGACGGCUAAACCCCACCUGGAGCAAGGCCGAAUAGGGGGACUAUGGGCGUCCGGCUCGUCCCCGGGUUGGCUGCUUGACCCCGACGGCAACGUCGUCCCGCUCGCUUCUGGCGGGCGGACUUGCCUCGGCCCACUUGGGCCGUUCGCAGGGGGCUAGAUAGAUGGUCACCGUCCUGUCGGCCAUUGGUCGGCAGGAUACAGAACCCGGCUUACAGGUUUUGCCCAGCC
RNAcentral lists this RNase P RNA (485 nucleotides) under Chloroflexota bacterium. RNAcentral describes it as "Chloroflexi bacterium RNase P RNA component class A". It matches the Rfam family "Bacterial RNase P class A". From Rfam's summary of the family: Ribonuclease P (RNase P) is a ubiquitous endoribonuclease, found in archaea, bacteria and eukarya as well as chloroplasts and mitochondria. Its best characterised activity is the generation of mature 5'-ends of tRNAs by cleaving the 5'-leader elements of precursor-tRNAs. Lineage: Bacteria; Bacillati; Chloroflexota. The record is from RNAcentral.